GAAUGAUUAUGUUAAUUCAAUGUAGGUUGGAUCAAUUGUGCUACUUAAGACUUCAAACUAUCCAAAUAAGACAAUUGUGGCCUAUGCAACCCUUUUGAGCUCUAGUCCAAAAGCACAAGCUGGUGGAGUUGAGAUAGGAAAGCAAUUCUACAAAGUGCGUAUCAAUCACCCUACUGUACAAGAGGAGCCAUUAUUGAGGCCCAUGACCGGCUACAGACCCAUUGGUGAUGCCCAUGCCAAAGGAGUGCCAAUUGCUUGGCCUUUGAUUUGUGUUGAAAUGAUCAAUGGUUGAAUCACGAAGCACUGGAUGUUGAGAAUACUAUAUAUGUUGUGGCAUAGACUACUAGUGAUGAUUAAUUACUUGUGGCACAUUUGCUCUUUAGAAUCAUAUGGUUGUGUAUAUAAUGUCAAUUAUUAAAUGUCAUGGUCAAGUUCUGUGUUUCCUUAUGAAAAGUGCAACUUUCUUUGGUUA
Molecule: long non-coding RNA, 472 nt
Organism: Panicum virgatum (switchgrass)
Lineage: Eukaryota; Viridiplantae; Streptophyta; Magnoliopsida; Poales; Poaceae
Exons: 2
Source: RefSeq, a predicted model, not a curated record